CCAGGGGUGAGCUGUUGGGUAGCUCGCUGCUGGCGCUCACCGCGCAUGUGCACGGCUCUCACUCUCGCUCUUGUUCCUUCUAUCAACCCCUGUGCACUAUAUUAGGAUAAGAGAGAAGCGUGUCGCUCUAGGGAUUAGCGUAGUAGCUGUGGGUCCAUCCCUCGGCGAAAGGUUAAUCUCUGAUCGGCGGCGCGUGGUACCUCGAAUCCUUCUUAUCACAAACCACUAUACAUGUCUUGUCAGAAUGUUCAGUCCCUCGUUGGACGCUAAAUGAAAUACAACUUUCAACAACGGAUCUCUUGGCUCUCGCAUCGAUGAAGAACGCAGCGAAAUGCGAUAAGUAAUGUGAAUUGCAGAAUUCAGUGAAUCAUCGAAUCUUUGAACGCACCUUGCGCCCUUUGGUAUUCCGAAGGGCACGCCUGUUUGAGUGUCAUGUUACUCUCAAUCUAUCAGCUUUUGUUGAUGGAUUGGAUUUGGGAGUCUGCUGGCCCCAUCUGGGUCGGCUCUCCUUGAAUGCAUGAGUGAGCAUCUGGCUCGCGUUGCUGGUGUGAUAGUCUGUUCAUCAUUGGCGACGCUUGCCUAACGGGCUUGCUUUCGAACCGUCUUCUCAACGGAGACAACUCUUUGACAUAUUGACCUCAAAUCAGG
This 648-nucleotide ribosomal RNA is filed under the name Basidiomycota sp. 2 HS-2012. RNAcentral describes it as "eukaryotic LSU rRNA". The stretch from base 280 to 433 matches the Rfam family "5.8S ribosomal RNA". Lineage: Eukaryota; Fungi; Basidiomycota. The record is from RNAcentral.